GCUGUGUGCUAAUUGGUUACAAGAAAAGGCAGCUUCUGUUGGUAAACUUUUGUAGCAAAUUAUUGGCCUGAGAUGAGGAAGAAGAAACAUUUACCCACACCAGUUACUACUGAAAGCUCCAUCGCCACUUCCUGUGAAACCAGGACCAAAGUCCAGGCUGCAACUUUACCUUGGCGGCACUUCAGCACCUGUGGGAGAACUGCUGUGAGGAGGAAGAGCAUUUGGCUUCAGAUUUGUCUGACUGAACAGAAACAGGAAUGAACAGGGUUGGGCGAGGUGAUAGACCCCAGCUGACCCACUUAGCAGAGAGACAACAUCCUCCGUGAAGGAGAGGAACGAAGCUGCUGGAGGCUGAAAGGACAAGAGGGAGCUGGUCAGCGGAACCUUCAUGAGUCACUGCCUCUGCACCAUUCAAGCACCUUCUGAGACCCAGCCCUUUGUACUUCCAGACAUGUUUCCCACUCGGCAUCCUGAUGCCACCUCCAGCCCAGUGGGAGCACCAGCACAUGCUUCUCCAAGGAAUCUCUUCAGAAGGCAGGAGUGUCAUUCCCAUCCCACAGUCAAGCCAAUUGCAGAUUUGUAUUAAGAUCCGAGGAUUAGCUCUCCAUCAAGUUGCCAUGGCUUCCAGACUACAUCCAGGACAAUACACUCUACCUAUGCCUUCCUCAUUCUAGAGCAGUCAUUGUCCUUAGUGCUACCAGAUAGCAGCUGUGUAAUAAAAUCACCUUUAUGUUUUGGCUGAGGAUCCCAAAUUUCUUCCUCAAGAUAAAAAACAUGGAGA
Molecule: long non-coding RNA, 781 nt
Organism: Oenanthe melanoleuca
Lineage: Eukaryota; Metazoa; Chordata; Aves; Passeriformes; Muscicapidae
Exons: 3
Source: RefSeq, a predicted model, not a curated record